This 254-nucleotide unclassified non-coding RNA is filed under the name uncultured bacterium. RNAcentral describes it as "contains 16S-23S intergenic spacer region". It matches the Rfam family "Bacterial small subunit ribosomal RNA", at positions 524 to 776 of the family's 1533-position model. The record is from RNAcentral.
UACGUAAGGGGCGAGCGUUGUUCGGAUUUACUGGGUGUAAAGGGUCCGCAGGCGGCCAGGUAAGUCGAGUAGUGAAAUCCGGGGGCUCAACCCCCGAACUGCUCUCGAUACUGCUUGGCUUGAGGGCGAGAGAGGUAAGUGGAAUUCCUGGUGGAGCGGUGAAAUGCGUAGAUAUCAGGAGGAACACCGAUGGCGAAGGCAGCUUACUGGCUCGCUUCUGACGCUCAUGGACGAAGGUGUGGGUAGCAAACAGG